CAACCGGUUUGUGGAUCGGUGGGCGCGCCGUCCCUGCGACGGGCGGCGCGACAUUCGCGGUGUUCAAUCCCGCUGAUGGGUCGG
RNAcentral lists this transfer RNA (84 nucleotides) under Nocardia camponoti. RNAcentral describes it as "tRNA-Arg". Lineage: Bacteria; Bacillati; Actinomycetota; Actinomycetes; Mycobacteriales; Nocardiaceae. The record is from RNAcentral.